UACGAAGGGGGCUAGCGUUGUUCGGAAUUACUGGGCGUAAAGAGCGUGUAGGCGGCCAUGUAGGUCCGUUGUGAAAACUCGAGGCUCAACCUCGAGACGCCGAUGGAAACCAUGUGGCUAGAGUCCGGAAGAGGAGAGUGGAAUUCCUGGUGUAGCGGUGAAAUGCGCAGAUAUCAGGAAGAACACCCGUGGCUAAGGCGGCUCUCUAGUACGGUACUGACGCUGAGACGCGAAAGCGUGGGGAGCGAACAGG
RNAcentral lists this ribosomal RNA (253 nucleotides) under uncultured bacterium. RNAcentral describes it as "partial 16S ribosomal RNA". It matches the Rfam family "Bacterial small subunit ribosomal RNA", at positions 524 to 776 of the family's 1533-position model. The record is from RNAcentral.